GAAAAAAAGAAUUAAGAGCAACUUACUCGAAAUGUCCCUGAGCAGCUGCAGCACACAAGGGUGUGAAGCCAUUUUUAUCAGCAGCAUUGACUUGGGCUUCUGCACUCAGCAGCAAUCUCACACAGUCUAUCCUGUAUGUCCAUUCUUAGCAGCAGAAUACAAGGCAGAAUGGCCAUCUUCACAGGAGUAAUUAAUGUCCAGUCCUUCUUCAUUAAGCAGCAUUGAUAAUAAAGUGACAUUUCCCUGGGCAGCAGCUUGCUGAAGAAGGGUGGGCCUGCCAGCCAGGGGGGCAGGACCACCACUCAUUAGCAAAGGGGUUAGGGAGGGUGACCAGCCUGUAGGUUAAAGUGACCCUCGUUAGAGAGUAGGAGCAAGGACAAGAGACAGAUAUUACCCAUUCCUUUCUGAAUUACACACACACAAACAUAUGAACAUGUGUCCCUAGAGGAUUAUGUGGUUUCUAACAUUAUCAAUCUGUUAAUAUUUACUUAGCAU
This 495-nucleotide long non-coding RNA is filed under the name Homo sapiens (human). RNAcentral describes it as "long non-coding RNA NONHSAT212581". The record is from RNAcentral. Lineage: Eukaryota; Metazoa; Chordata; Mammalia; Primates; Hominidae.